CACAUUCAGAAUCCUCUGUUGAAAUCACAAUUCGAAAAAUGAAUUGUUUGUGUCUGUUGCAUUGCUUGAGAACUUCAAUGUAACUCAAGUUGAAAAGUUUUGCUGGGUUCUUUCAUAAUAAAAUAUGUCAUGAAACAUUAAAGCAGGGUUUGUUUAAUUGUGUGUCGUUUCUUGCGUAUUUGGUCCUUUAGGCAUUAUAAACAGCCAAAGCCUGUCUCUUCCUCUCUCUCUACCGACACUUGGAACGUUUCUCUUUGCAAAACGAGCGCUCCCUUUCCAUAAAAAAUGAAAGCCUUGCAACCAGCACCAGGGCACUCAAAUAUCAUUGGAGAAUUGAAACCUGUCACACUGCAUUCCAUAAUUUUCCAGCAUCACAGGAAUGAUUCACCCUGAUUGAGACUGCAGGCAAACAAUGAACUGCAUACAAAGGGGGAAGAACCACCCAUCACCUCGCUCUUUCAUUUCUUGUUUCGCAGACCCUCUGCAUGAUCUGGAUUUGUAGAACAGGUGUUUGAGCUUUUCUUCAAGCUGUUAUUACUUGGAAGUGAUUUUCUCCUCCUCCUAAAAGGGUACUUCCAGAAAAUGGGUAGCAGUGGCAAGGAAAAGGUAAGAUUGCCUAGAUGCUUGACCUAAUAUUUGUCUGAACUUUGGCUGGUCAUACCCAGGGACACUUUUCUCAUGUUCCUCUUUUUCAGACCUAAGAGAACAUGAUUUUCCUAACAUCCCAAUAUUAUGCUUAUUUGCUCAGAAAUAAAACCUGCAACCCUUUGGUUCUAUAAAAGGCAAAGGCAUGUGUGCAGUGGGGGGGGGGGAGGCACACAACACAAACACAACCUAGCAGCAUGUGCUAAAGGUUGGUUAUUUGUAUUGUACUAAAGUCGAUGGGGCUACAUAACUUGAAGAAUUUUCUUUAAGUUACAAAUGAGGUAGAAUGGAAGGGCAAUGUAAUAUUUCAUUUUAAAUACAAUCUGCACUAAAGAGAGAGAGCAAGAAACGCAACUGAACUUUGAAAAAAACGUAUGUCCAAACUGUGUCUGUUAAGAACUACAAUGAACGUGUUUCCCCCCUUUUUGUUUCACAAAUGCAGUUAUUUAUUUAUAACAUAUUAAAAUAUAAAACAUUGUCUAUCUGAUCGAUUUUACAUAGAAAAUAUGAAUACAGUAAUAAAAUACUGAAAAUAUUUGAAGCACCAGACCAUUAAGAGCAUUAAUUGGCAUAUGCUUAUGAAUAUAUUCUGAAAACAUUUAACAAAGUGAAAUUAAAUCUAAUCCAACUCACUGAUAAGCAUUUUAAAAAAUAUUAAUCUGAGACUAGAAUUAUUCUAUAUUUUGUACUUACAGUUGACUUGCUGAGGAACUACAAUAAUAGAAUUUAACUGAAGGUAAUGCAACUGAUGAGAGACCAAUUAAUCAAAUUGUUUUGGCUUGUUUGUGAAAUAUGAAGUGACUUGCAUAAGAAAGAUAUGUUUCUUAUGAUCAGCUGAAACCGUAAGCCAAUACAGAACAAAUCCAUGGGCACAAAGGUAAAUUCUAUAAAAGCAUUUCAUACCUGUAUAAUUGAAUGCUUGACUAAAAUCACCUUGCAUUAUUAUUGUCUAGAAUAUGUUCAAUUUUAUAAAAGUCAAUUCAAAACCUUUGGUGAAUGUUUCAGUAAAAUGAGUAGGUAGCAAGAGACCCAUCUUCCUAGGGUUUGGGAUUUGAAACAAGGUGGCACUAUAUAGGAAGCCAGCAGACUCAUAAAAUUAUUAUAACAAGCCAAAUAAAUCUGCUGUCAUCCUCUCUAAUUUCAAGCUUAGCUAAAUGAACAUAGCCAAAUUCUACACAUUAAGGUAACAGUCAAAUAGAUAUACAUGCUUAAGCCUACUGAAACCAAUAGCUGAAAAUUGGUUUAACUUGUAAAAGUAAACUGCAUUUCCCACAAAGUUAUUACUAAUAAAUUAAAAAUAAAAUACAAGAACCCAGAAGAGUGAGCAGCAUUAUCAAGGUGAGAUACACUGUAGUGGAAGAAGUAGUAUGUGAUAUAAAUUAUGGCCUCAAUCAUGAGAGCUUAGUGCCACUGGAGUGAAGCAACAUCACUGCAUAUGCAGAAGCUCAGCUACUCAGGGAUUUUUUUUCCUUUACAUAAAAUAGGAACAGCUGAAGAGUGUAGCAAAAAGUGCCUAUGUGCACAUAGAGCUUCUCAUACGCAGAAGGAAAGAGGAAGUCCCUGCACAUGCUGUGUGCUCCAGAGCAUAACCAAUGAGUGCCUGAUUGCGAGUACAGGCUGGUUUAGAUUUUUUGCUUCAAAUUAUUCUACAGCAGAAAGAAGCGCUGAGAAGUGAUCUUAGGACUGCAUCUGCAAACAUGACUUACUGCACCAUGUAUUGUUACAACUUGUCUGAUUUACAAAAGAUUAAAUGUUAACCAAAACAUGA
Long non-coding RNA from Podarcis raffonei (Aeolian wall lizard), 2413 nucleotides. RefSeq lists it as uncharacterized. The transcript is spliced from 4 exons. Lineage: Eukaryota; Metazoa; Chordata; Lepidosauria; Squamata; Lacertidae. The record is from RefSeq and is a predicted model, not a curated record.